CUUAAGUUUGACAAGACUACAAAAUCUAAAACACCCGAAAAUUAAAGAAAAAAUAUAAUAUGAAAACCAUACUUGACAUUGAUGCCACCAUAGAAACCACCAAGCAAAAGGUAUGUGCUAAAGCUGCCUACAUAGCAAUGUUUGAAAAGC
Molecule: long non-coding RNA, 150 nt
Organism: Octopus sinensis (East Asian common octopus)
Lineage: Eukaryota; Metazoa; Mollusca; Cephalopoda; Octopoda; Octopodidae
Exons: 3
Source: RefSeq, a predicted model, not a curated record